Molecule: long non-coding RNA, 2992 nt
Organism: Pogoniulus pusillus (Red-fronted tinkerbird)
Lineage: Eukaryota; Metazoa; Chordata; Aves; Piciformes; Lybiidae
Exons: 6
Source: RefSeq, a predicted model, not a curated record
AAUUUGUUUUGGUUUGUUUUUAAGAAGCAAGAACUCUGAUAUUUGUUUCCAUUGUGAUUUGUAUGUCAAACUCUCAAAGCUAAGAUUUUAGGAUUUUUUAUUUUAAACAUACACAUUUCUAGAAUGUUGCAGUGUCUUAACGUCGUUUCUUUAGUGUUUCCAAAUUUAGAAUGUUUAUGGGGCACGAGUGGCUUUUAUGGAAUUAAGAAGCUGUUGUUAUAUUCCUAGCUGGUGUUUGAGGUGAUUAACUUUGCUCGCAUAAAUGAUGGAAGAAAUUUGCUCAUCAAGAAACCUGCAAUUGCAAUUUUAAGAUUGCUUUCAUGAACAUAUUUGAGGGUAAUAAGUGUAACUGGAAACCACGAUACGAGAUUUGGUCAACCAAUCUUGCAAUUAUUUGAGAUACUUCUCUUUUAUUUCAGCAAAAGGUCAUCCAUUAUGUGGAAUAUAUUCUCAUGAAGGGGCUUAAAAGAAAGUGAAUAAUAAUAUAUUUUGCCUUAAAUGGCACAAAAUACUGUUUUGGGGGAGCGAUAUAUUUUUUUAAUUUGGUACUUGGGAAAAAAUAGUUUAACCAGAACGUCAUUUUGCUCUUUAUAACUUCUUAUGAUGACUAUUAAGAUUUAUGUCAGAAAUUAUGAUUCAGGUACACACCCCCUCACCGCUUUUGUUAAUACGAGGUCUCAAUCACCAUGUAUUCACUAUUCACUCAAGCAAAACUCUUACUGAACUCCAAUUACGUUUUGACUGAAUCACAUAAGAUUUUUUCUUAAGAAAGAACAUUGAGCGAGGUUCAUUGUUUUAGUUGUUCGUAAUUUCUUUUAGGUUAGGGCGGAAUGGGGGGACAACAAAAAAACGGCAACCCAACCCCCCUAAAAAACGAACAAACAAAGCACUCUGCCUAUAUAUAGUCACUGCUAUGUACUUAAUGGUAUAGCAUGAAUAAUACACGCACCCAAGAUAUAAAUGCUCAUGCACUACUACAAAUUGAACAAACGGCAAUAAAUACGUAUGUGUACACAUAGACACACAGAGAGCCCUACAGAGGUGUCUAUCCGUGCGGUAGAGUCUGUAGAAGCUUCUCGGCGGUUUUGUGUAUUUGAAUUUUCUUGUUUUGAAUACCGCCCCCCCCCCCCCCCCCCCCCCCCCCCCCCCAUCCGCCCCAUGAUGAAGAUGUCUGGGUAAAUGGGUCAAAAAGUGGUGGAGAACUGGGUUAGAAAGAGGUGAAGGUGAAGAUCAUUAGAGGUUUUAGGGCUGGCUGUGGUUGUUUUGCUGGGUUUGUGUGACUGUGCCCAGAGGGCGGAGUUCCUGCACAUUCCUACCUCACCGGAGAACCUGCCCUCAACUCCACUGCAGCUACUCCAGAGAGAUGGGACCCUCCAGAAGAAACCUGCCCAGCAAUCCCAGCAAGCCUUCCCGCCAGAAGGAUGCAAGGAGAACCUGCUUCUACCUGCACGAUGGCACUUGAGAAUGGGAGUCUUCCACCGGCACAGGAUCACUGGAGGCAAACAUCGAAUUAAUUGGAUCUCACUGACUGAGAUCUCUCAUCCUGUCUGCUGAGAGGGUUGAACUGUAAAUCUGCCUCAAAUGAUGCACCCCUAAAAUGUAGUUCCAAGCCACCUAUCAAGUAUCUGGAGGAAGAAGGUGACGUGACAAGAAACGCCUGACAGGCAAAGUGGGGAACUGUCCAGGAAAAGGAUCCGUGAUGAAUGAGGUCUGCGUGAUCACGAUGCAACGGCAGAACAGGACAGAGUGCUGCCACCAAAUGCUGGUUUUUGUUCCCCAGAACCGAAAAGAAAAAUGGAGAGGGGGAGGCGAUGGCGUUAAGAGGGAGAGAUCGAAGAAGUUAGUGACUGUCUGCAAUGUAAACACGAGUCCAUCAUCUCCUCUGGAAAAGGGGAGGCUACGUUUGUCAAACACUGUAGAGCCCAGCGAGAGGCAGGGGCGGCACCGGACCGCUCCGAAAUGCUGCCGUGAAAUCUGGAUCCAAGAUGAAUCUAAGGCCAGUACUACACAAGUCACAUGUCCGAGGUUAAGCCAGCCUCUUUGAUAGUUGACCAAAAAUCGUAGGGAAGAAUAUUUGCCCCUGGGUAAGGAAUCGCUGGGAGGGGGGAGGGGGGAGAACUCAGGGUGGGAGAAGCGAGAAAGACGGGACGAGAUAAACCAAAUGACACUAAAACUGCAAACAAGAUUUAAUUCCUUGGGUAACUUUGUGCAGAUCUGUCUUACUCGGCCUUGGCGGGAAAGGCUGCCGCGGCGAGCAUGUAACUUCCAGUGUUGUUUUUGACCGUGCACUGUAUUGCCAUAAUGCCAAUAAACGCAUACAAUGCGUCUGACCAGCGGCCAGCAGAUGAUCCAUCUUCUUAGGCUCGGAGUACAGGAGGUCCAUCCCCUGCCAGGGCUACGAGGCCGUUCCCUACCUUUGGGUACUUUGGUGCUGUGGGAAAAUAAGGGUGGAUGGGUGAGGAGCUGUUUGCCCCGGCCGCUGGGUUUUCAUUUCUUGGAGGGGCCAUUCUCGGUUUGCUUCGUUUCGGCGAGACCAGGAUUUCAGGACUUGUAAGUGCAGCGGCCAGAACCACCCUUGACAGAAUUUUGCCCCACUUAGCGGCUGCCUAUAAAGAGAAGCAGCUCUCCCAGGGAUGAAUUCGCUGGUGUGAACCAUGGUGCAUAUCGCUCACCCUUCCAGCAAACGCCAGCAGAUGGAUGCAAUUAAACCUCGGCGAUCCUUCGCGGCCGGACACUGAUACAGCGUGUGAGACGGUUGGCCAUUGUGCAGUGCCUAUGGUCUAGUACUCACCCCCGGCAGCUGCAAUAGGAAGGAGGAAAGAAACGCGGGUACUUCCAGCUUCUCCUUCCCACGGCGAGGGAAGCACAGAAGGACCCCAAAAAGUUCCAAAAGGGCCAGAAAACGAGAAAAAGAAGGAAAACUGAACACGUGUUGGGAGCAUUCAGAUUUCCGUGUAAUAUUAUAAAUAAUAAUAAAAUCCCAGCGAAACAA